RNAcentral lists this unclassified non-coding RNA (338 nucleotides) under soil metagenome. Its description in RNAcentral is "partial contains 5.8S ribosomal RNA, internal transcribed spacer 2, and large subunit ribosomal RNA". The stretch from base 1 to 120 matches the Rfam family "5.8S ribosomal RNA", at positions 35 to 154 of the family's 154-position model. The record is from RNAcentral.
GAUGAAGAACGCAGCGAAAUGCGAUAAGUAAUGUGAAUUGCAGAAUUCAGUGAAUCAUCGAAUCUUUGAACGCACAUUGCGCCCAUUAGUAUUCUAGUGGGCAUGCCUGUUCGAGCGUCAUUUCAACCCUUAAGCCUCUGUUGCUUAGCGUUGGGAGCCUACCUACCCGGUAGAUCCUCAAAGUUAGCUGGCAGGGUCGAGGUUCGCCCUAAGCGUAGUAGUUCUUUCUCGCUUCUGCGGCUGCCUAGGCCAUCGACACAAGCCUUUUAAACUUCAAUGGUUGACCUCGGAUCAGGUAGGAAUACCCGCUGAACUUAAGCAUAUCAAUAAGCGGAGGA